CCACCUGUCCCUUUGUCCAAAACGUAUCCUCCCAAACACAAAAGACACAAAACACACAAAAAGAAAACUCGAUCUAGACAUUAACGAUACACAAAAAGAGAAUCAUAUAUGCAUGCAAACAGAAUAGAGAAAGAUUAUGCCCUCAAGUGAUUCAGGAAAAACAAGUUGAGCAAUGAGGGGUUUACUUACCAAACACUCUUCACUCCGUGUAUAUGGGCUUAGUGUAUUCGCUCGUAUCUUCUGACCAGAGCGUUCACCUAUGCUUGUUUGCCUUCUUAUGCCUUCGCCUCUCAAAAAUAUUGGUGUUAGGUCAUUAUCCUUAGGUCUUAUCAUGGUUGCUGUAAUGUGGCUUAAGGCACAGGUGGGAAAAUUUAUGGCUCUGGGCUAAUGUCAAAUGAAUUCCACUCUAGGCACAGCUACCCAUCCCUUCCCCACUUCAGAUUUUGCCUUAAUUCUUACGGGCCUAACCACAAACAACUUGGACUAUAUUUUUUUAUUUUUCUUUUCUUUUCUAGUCCUUAUAUUUUUUUUUGUUUUCACAUAAGGGGCACAAUGAAAUUUGUGAUUAUAGGCUUAACCCUUCCCUCUUAUUCCUACGACUUCCCUUUCCCUUUGACUUCUUUUUUUUCCGUAAUUCAUUUGAUCGGGUUGGCUCAUUCAUUUGGGCAAAUUUAAGUGAUUUUUCAAUUGAAACGAACAAAGCUCAAAGGGGCUAUACAAGGGUUAGUACGUAGGGUUUGUCAUUUGGGCAUAUGGGUUAAGUGAAAAAAAAUGCCUGUCAUCUAAGUUCCAUCAACCAACUCAAUGAGGCUUUGACCAGAAUUCGAGCAAGUUCUAGUUCUACUCAAAGUCAGACGAUAAAAUGCACACAAAAAUGAAUUCAUGUUUGGUUUAAACAGAUAUUGCAUGAUAAGCUCAAACCUCACAUGAUAUAUGCUCAACAUUAGUAAUCCCUCAUACUGACUAUCCCUAGGCAUGCUCAAAUCAAAUAUUCAUAUUCACAACACAUAAUUAUCAUGCCCAGAGUUUAAAUCACACAUCAUGCUAGGUCAGACACGACACACAAAAACAACGGGGAAUGCCUCCACACUCACACACUUUGCUUUGGGCAAAGUGAGUCAGAAAGAGACAGACAUGAACCAAAAUGAAAAGAAACAAAAAACAACACAUAUAUACAUGCAAAUAACAAUCGGCCUUCCCCACUCACACACUUUGCCUUAGGCAAAGUGUUAGGGCAAAGAGAGCCAUAAAAAGACAUAAAGGGAAC
Molecule: long non-coding RNA, 1267 nt
Filed under: Salvia miltiorrhiza (redroot sage)
Lineage: Eukaryota; Viridiplantae; Streptophyta; Magnoliopsida; Lamiales; Lamiaceae
Description: long non-coding RNA (SMIL_LNC002716)
Source: RNAcentral